UACGUAGGGGGCUAGCGUUGUCCGGAAUCAUUGGGCGUAAAGAGCGUGUAGGCGGCCAUACAGGUCCGUUGUGAAAACUCGAGGCUCAACCUCGAGACGUCGAUGGAAACCGUAUGGCUAGAGUCCGGAAGAGGAGAGUGGAAUUCCUGGUGUAGCGGUGAAAUGCGCAGAUAUCAGGAAGAACACCGGUGGCGAAGGCGGUUCUCUGGGCCUGUACUGACGCUGAGGAGCGAAAGCGUGGGGAGCGAACAGG
RNAcentral lists this ribosomal RNA (253 nucleotides) under uncultured bacterium. RNAcentral describes it as "partial 16S ribosomal RNA". It matches the Rfam family "Bacterial small subunit ribosomal RNA", at positions 524 to 776 of the family's 1533-position model. The record is from RNAcentral.